UACGUAGGGGGCAAGCGUUGUCCGGAAUCAUUGGGCGUAAAGCGCGCGUAGGCGGCUAGAUCAGUCUGCUGUAAAAGUCAAAGGCUCAACCUUUGAAAGCCGGUGGAUACUGUCUAGCUAGAGUCCGGAAGAGGCGAGUGGAAUUCCUGGUGUAGCGGUGAAAUGCGCAGAUAUCAGGAAGAACACCCGUGGCGAAGGCGGCUCUCUGGGACGGUACUGACGCUGAGACGCGAAAGCGUGGGGAGCGAACAGG
Molecule: ribosomal RNA, 253 nt
Filed under: uncultured bacterium
Lineage: Bacteria
Description: partial 16S ribosomal RNA
Rfam family: Bacterial small subunit ribosomal RNA
Source: RNAcentral